RNAcentral lists this ribosomal RNA (497 nucleotides) under uncultured bacterium. Its description in RNAcentral is "partial 16S ribosomal RNA". It matches the Rfam family "Bacterial small subunit ribosomal RNA", at positions 28 to 507 of the family's 1533-position model. The record is from RNAcentral.
GACGAACGCUGGCGGCGUGCCUAAUACAUGCAAGUCGAGCGCUGAAGGUUGGUACUUGUACCAACUGGAUGAGCAGCGAACGGGUGAGUAACGCGUGGGGAAUCUGCUUUUGAGCGGGGGACAACAUUUGGAAACGAAUGCUAAUACCGCAUAAAAACUUUAAACACAAGUUUUAAGUUUGAAAGAUGCAAUUGCAUCACUCAAAGAUGAUCCCGCGUUGUAUUAGCUAGUUGGUGAGGUAAAGGCUCAACAAGGCGGUGGUACAUAGCCGACCUGAGAGGGAGGUCGGCCCCAUUGGGACUUGGACACGGCCCAAACCCCUUCGGGGAGCAGCAGUAGGGAAAUUUCGGCCAUGGACGAAAGUCUGACCGAGCAACGCCGCGUGAGUGAAGAAGGUUUUCGGAUCGGAAAACUCUGUUGGUAGGGAAGAACGUUGGUGAGAUUGGAAAGCUCAUCAAGUGACGGUAACUACCCAGAAAGGGACGGCUAACUACGUG